UGCAUCCAGAACUACUCUCAGGAGAUG
This 27-nucleotide non-coding RNA is filed under the name Mus musculus (house mouse). The record is from RNAcentral. Lineage: Eukaryota; Metazoa; Chordata; Mammalia; Rodentia; Muridae.